RNAcentral lists this ribosomal RNA (300 nucleotides) under Staphylococcus aureus. RNAcentral describes it as "partial 16S ribosomal RNA". It matches the Rfam family "Bacterial small subunit ribosomal RNA", at positions 1235 to 1533 of the family's 1533-position model. Lineage: Bacteria; Bacillati; Bacillota; Bacilli; Caryophanales; Staphylococcaceae. The record is from RNAcentral.
CAAUACAAAGGGCAGCGAAACCGCGAGGUCAAGCAAAUCCCAUAAAGUUGUUCUCAGUUCGGAUUGUAGUCUGCAACUCGACUACAUGAAGCUGGAAUCGCUAGUAAUCGUAGAUCAGCAUGCUACGGUGAAUACGUUCCCGGGUCUUGUACACACCGCCCGUCACACCACGAGAGUUUGUAACACCCGAAGCCGGUGGAGUAACCUUUUAGGAGCUAGCCGUCGAAGGUGGGACAAAUGAUUGGGGUGAAGUCGUAACAAGGUAGCCGUAUCGGAAGGUGCGGCUGGAUCACCUCCUUU